Long non-coding RNA from Lycium barbarum (goji berry), 500 nucleotides. RefSeq lists it as uncharacterized. The record is from RefSeq and is a predicted model, not a curated record. The transcript is spliced from 3 exons. Lineage: Eukaryota; Viridiplantae; Streptophyta; Magnoliopsida; Solanales; Solanaceae.
GACCCGACAAAAACAGAGACCCCCUAAAUUUUGUUCCGCCUACUACUACUAUUUCCCUAGAGAAAGAAAAUCAUCACUAUCAGCAAGCCACCAAUAUUGCACCCAUGGAAAACAUCACGACACCGGCAAACAAAAUCGUCACCCGAUUACCAUCACCAUCAGGAACCUAAAUAACCGUCGGCCACCAUUACCAUCGCCGGUGUGCUUGAAAUCUGCUGCACCUUUCACAAAUUUGUGCAAUACUAGAAGCAUCAUUGAAGGUGUUGAAAAUGAAGAAAGGGAAGACGCAAGCAGUGAAGACAUUACUUGAGAAGAUUUUUGGAUUUUUGCUGAAGCUUUAGAUGUUCUAGGAAUAUUUUGCUAUUGACAUUUUGGAACUCAUGCAAACUCUUUAAAUGUAAAACUUUAUGUAUUUGGGUUUUAACAUUUUGCUUUUAUGGAUAUUAUAACUAGCUUGUGGACAAUAUGGAUUAUGAAAAGUUUCAUUUUGUGAUUUUAUA